RNAcentral lists this transfer RNA (71 nucleotides) under Ithaginis cruentus. RNAcentral describes it as "tRNA-Val". The record is from RNAcentral. Lineage: Eukaryota; Metazoa; Chordata; Aves; Galliformes; Phasianidae.
CAAGGCGUAGCUAUAAACCCUAAAGCAUUCAGCUUACACCUGAAAGAUACCUGCAGACAAGGUCGCCUUGA